Molecule: ribosomal RNA, 466 nt
Filed under: uncultured bacterium
Lineage: Bacteria
Description: bacterial SSU rRNA
Rfam family: Bacterial small subunit ribosomal RNA
Source: RNAcentral
AGGACGAACGCUGGCGGCGCGCCUAACACAUGCAAGUCGAACGAGAGAUGAGGAGCUUGCUCUUCAGAUCGAGUGGCGAACGGGUGAGUAACGCGUGAGGAACCUGCCUCAAAGAGGGGGACAACAGUUGGAAACGACUGCUAAUACCGCAUAAGCGCACAGCUUCGCAUGAAGCAGUGUGAAAAACUCCGGUGGUACAGGAUGGACCCGCGUCUGAUUAGAUAGUUGGUGAGGUAACGGCCCACCAAGUCAACGAUCAGUAGCCGGCCUGAGAGGGCGAACGGCCACAUUGGGACUGAGACACGGCCCAAACUCCUACGGGAGGCAGCAGUGGGGAAUAUUGCACAAUGGGGGAAACCCUGAUGCAGCGACGCCGCGUGGAGGAAGAAGGUCUUCGGAUUGUAAACUCCUGUCCCAGGGGACGAUAAUGACGGUACCCUGGGAGGAAGCACCGGCUAACUACGUG